Molecule: ribosomal RNA, 301 nt
Filed under: uncultured bacterium
Lineage: Bacteria
Description: partial 16S ribosomal RNA
Rfam family: Bacterial small subunit ribosomal RNA
Source: RNAcentral
CAGUAGCCACGGUAAUACGGAGGGUGCAAGCGUUAAUCGGAAUUACUGGGCGUAAAGCGCACGCAGGCGGUCUGACAAGUCAGAUGUGAAAUCCCCGGGCUUAACCUGGGAACUGCAUUUGAAACUGUCAGGCUGGAGUCUUGUAGAGGGGGGUAGAAUUCCAGGUGUAGCGGUGAAAUGCGUAGAGAUCUGGAGGAAUACCGGUGGCGAAGGCGGCCCCCUGGACAAAGACUGACGCUCAGGUGCGAAAGCGUGGGGAGCAAACAGGAUUAAAUACCCCAGUAGUCCCUGUCUCUUAUAA